GGUCUUCAUCUUCAAGCUGCUGCUAUAGACCUGUCUGCAUUUGAAGAGCGAAGAGAACGCAGCACUUCAGGCUGCCUUUGGCAACUGCCGUUUCCCAUCUGGGACUUUGUGUGACACUGGAAUGUCCCUCUUUUCAUGCUGCUAACACUGCCCUCCCUAGGAGAGUCCUUAUGUGAUACAGCAAUACCUUCCCAUUCAUCCACUGGAAGUAAAUAGUGUGGGCCUGGACACAUCGAUCUUUGCUGAAGGAACCAUGGAAAGAGCGACUGAGCUAAGGGGCAUGGAAGCACCCAACAAAACCACAGAACACCAUGGAAACACAGGUGGCGGUUUAGCAUCUAUCAAAGGAGCCAGAUGGGCAGACAAAGAGAGAAGCCUCCAGCUACGUAUCAGACAAGCAGAGAAGGUGAGGGGUGCAGGCGCCCUGGCCACCCUGCAGCUGGCUCAGCAUCUGGACAGGAGAACAAAGCCGUGGCCCAGGAAACCUCCAUGGAGAAGACUGAAUUCUGGUCCAGCUGCUGCGUAAUCUACAUCGCUUGAGCGGAAGAGGAUCUGUAGUAACUGAUCCUUGGCUCUACACUCUCCCAUCCAUCAUCAGGAACAAUAGCGGGCUGCAGUUGCCUUUCCAACCCUGCUUUGAAGGGCUUAAUAUGUUGAUGGUUGCCAUGGCAAACAAGCUUAAAACACCACUGGAUGAUGUGAACGGCAGAGAUAAUGCUUCAUAACUUUCAACGGCUAGACUCCAGAAGGAGGAUUUUUGUAUUGCCAUUGUGUAGUGGAAAGAACGGCAAAAUGAGGAUCAGAAGAACUGGAUCUGUCUCAGAUCAGCCAUCAACUGGCUAUGUGGCCCUGGAUGGCACACCAUUUAACCCGUCUGUGCAGAGUACUAACUCAUCUGAAAAAGCAAGAAAUAAUAACAAAAGCAGUAACUGUGGAAAUCAUAAGAAAGUAAUAAUAUCAAUUGCAGCCCAGAAGUUGGAAUCUGGUCCCUCCUCUCCAUGAACCAAGUAUGAGACUUUAGAUAUUUCACACAAUGUUUCUGGGUCACUCUGUUCUCAUUGGGAAAGUUAGAGAUCAAAGAUACAUAUUAUAUAUUUUGUACUUGUGCCAUACCAACAAUAGAUAAGGAAGAGCUGGUGUUCCAGGCCAGCUAAUCAUCAUGGGAGACAGUGUCUGUGGCUGUCACUUCUCUAGUGGCCCUGCAGCUCACACCAAGUGUGUUAAAGCUACUCCGGAUGAGCCAAGUGUUCCACUGUGAUUGUCACUGUGGUCCUCUCCAUCAACAGGAUCUAUCAGAAAGCAGAAAAUGAAGCCCUAACAGCGUACUUACUCUCAUCAGUGGAUUAAACUUCAUCUUCCUCCUUCACCCUCCGUAGAGAUUAGCAAAGAUCUUGAGUUCUGCAUGUUUCUGAAUUAAAAUCCUGGAGAGUGAAUUUCCCAGCGGAGGUAAUGCAUGAUGAUUUGGCUGCUCAACCCCCAUUACCACUGAUGGAGCACAACAGGACGCUUAAAAUAAGUGGGGUCCCCUUGGCCUUCAUAAAUGCCUCCACACUUAGCAAAUAUGUAGCACAUUUAGCUUGGAAUCACAGGCAUGAAACAGCUUGUUGUCAAGUUCCUACAACACCCAGAGGACCAUCCAGAAAGUCAAUAUUUCUCUGACUUGGCCUUCCUGAGGCAUUGCUCCCUCUACCACAGUAAGCCUGCAAGGCUAUGGGGUCUCCUGCUUUUGUUACAAGCACCUCCUCAUGACCCUUGCACAUUUUAUUCCAGCUCUCACAGCUAUGCAUUUUUUAGAAGCGCUAUCUUCACCCCUCUCUUUGAAUGUUCUCUCUGACAUUAUGGAGGUGACCAAGAGAAACAGUUGUCUCUCAAGGAGGAUUUAUGCACAAUUUCUUAUAUAUUCAAGAACAAAGGGUGGACUUCUGUUUCUGACCAAGAGGGAGUAAAAGGGACCUGAUUACCUUCCCACUGGAAACAACAACAAGAUUAGGAACAACAAGAGAGACAAAACACUGGAAGCACUGGGCGCGGGCUUACGUCUGUAAUCCCAGCACUUCAGGAGGGUGGGACGGGCAGAUAGCUGGAGUCCAGGAGCUUGAAACCAGCCUGAGUGACAUGGCAAAACCUCAUCUCUACUAAAAAUACAAAAAUUAGCCGGGUGUGGUGGCACGUGCCUGUAGUUCCAGCUACUCAGGAGGCUGAGCUGGGAAGAUGACCUGAACCUGGGAGGCUGAGGCUGCUAUAAGCAGUGGACAAAGGGAUACCCAAUCUGAAAACAAAAACACUAGAAGCAGUGGUUUUCAAGACACUGAUACCAGGCAAUGAAAUAUAAUUACUCCUGAGAGAUGGAAAACGAGAGGAGCACAGCAUUCAUCCCAGCUGACUUCCUGGAGAGCAUUUCCAGGAGUGGUGCAGGGAGAGGUAAUCAGGUGGAGGCUAGAGGACUCCCAGAGUUGAGCAACUGAAAGCCCUGGAAGAUCAAGAACAUUAGAGUGCUCAGAAUAGAAUACCAGGGGAGGAGAAAUCUGCACAGAGAACUCCUGAGAUCUGCAGAGGGUUCCCUUGAGCAUCCAGCAGAGGACUGAUCAGGGCAUGUGUGCAAUAAAACUUCCCAAAGGCCGGGCAAAGAACCUUCCCAGAAGAUUGGAAGGAACAGUGCCCAGCACUCACACGGGGCCAGGGAUGCUUGCCUGUUCCUACCAGACAGAAUGGAAAACUUGAUUAACCCAAUAAUUCAUGAGGCAUUGAAUUGGGUACGCAUGAGUAUCUUGUGUCAGUGAUGGGGCCAGACAGUAAACAUUGUUCUGAUCUCACCAAAUAGAUAUUAAGAGCAAGAGCCAAAACACAUUGAAUUUGUAGAAAAAAGUCCUUCCACAAAGGCACUUGUAAGCUCAGCUGGCUUCACUGGUAAAUGCUACCAAACAGUGAAGGAAGAAAUCAUAUCAGCUAUAUAUAAACUCUUUCAAGAAAAUUGAAGAGGAAGGAAUAAUUCCCAAUUCAUUCUAUAAGGUCAGCAUUACCUUAAAAACAAAACUGGAAAAAGACAUUAUGAAAAACUAAAACUACAGACCAUUAUUUUCCAUAAAUAGAUAUGCAAAAAUUCUAAAAAACAUACUGUUAGUAAAUUGAAUUCAAAAAUCUAUAAAAAGUAUACAUCAGGGCCAUGUAAUCUAUCCCAGGAAUACAAGGCUAGUUUAACAUUAAAAAUAAUCAACCAAUGUACUUCAUCAUAUUAACAAACUAAAAUAAGAAAAACAUAUGAUUAUCUUAAUAAAGACGAAAGCAUUUGACAAACUGUAACAUCUGUUCCUAAUUUUUAUAAACCUCUCAGCAAAUUAAGAGAACUUUCUCAAACUGAUAAAGAGCAUGUAUAGAAAACCUACAGCUAUCAGCAUAUCUAAAGAUAAAAGACUGAAAGCUUUCCCUGUGAAAUCAGGAACAAGACAAGAAUCUCCAUUCACAUGAGUUCUAUUCAACAUUGUACUGGAGAAUCUAGCUAAUACAAUAACGCAAGAAGAAGAAAUAAAAGGCAUUCAUGCUGGAAAGGAAGAAGUAAAACUGUCAUUUGCAGAUUACUUGAUUGCCAUAUAGAAUAUCUGAUGAAAUCAAUAAAAACUACUAGAACAAACAAGAGUAGCAUUGUUACAAGACAAGAAAUUCUAUGCAAAAAUCAGUUGUAUUUCUAUACACUAGUAAUGAGCAACGUGAAAUUGAAAUGUUUAAAAUGUCAUUCAAAAGGGUCAUUAAAAAUUUAAAUACUUAGAGGUAAAUUUGACAAGGGAUAUCCAAGAUCUGUACGUUGAAGGCUACAAAAUUGCAGUGAAAGAAAUUAAAGACCUAUAUAAAUAGAGACAUAUACUAAACUAAUCAGUCAUGAGACUCAAUAUUGUUAAAAUGUCAUUUUCUCCAUAUUAAUGUAUAAAUUCAAUACAAUUUCAAUCCAAAACCAGGAAAUUUUUUAGUAGAAAUUGGCAAGCUAAUUUAAAAAUCUAUAUGGAAGUGCAAAAGAUACAGAAUAGUCAAAACAAUUUUGAAAAAGAAAAUGUUGGAGGCCUACCACUAUCUGAUUUGAAGACUUGGUUUAAAGGCUGAUUGAGGUGGCUCACGCUUGUAGUCCCAGCACUUUGGGAGGGUGAGACAGGAGGAUUGCUUGAACCCAGGAGUUCAAGAAACUCCUGGGAAACAUAAGAAAACCUCAUCUCUAGAAAACAAUUUUAAAUUAGCUGGGUGUAGUGGUAUGUGCCUGUAGUCCCAACUACUUAGGAGGCUGAGGCAGGAGGAUUGCUUAAGCCCAAGAGGUAAAGGCUGCAGAGAGCUAUGAUUGUGCCACUGCACUGCAGACUAGGUGACAUAAUGAGACUCCAUUUCAAACAACAACAACAACAACAAAAAGCUUUAGUAAUCAACAGUAUCGUAUUAGCAUAAAUACUGAAAAAUAGGCCAGUGAAAUAAAACAGAGUUCAGAAAUGCAUCCAUACUGACAAAGAUAACUGAUUUUUGAUAAAGAUGAUACAGCAAGUCAAUGGAGAAAAGAAAAGCAAUGAAAAUAUUUGAACAGGCACUUCACCAAAAAAGACACAUGGUUGGAAAGUAAGCAGACAAAGAGGUGCUGAAUAUUAUCAGUCAUCAGGGAAAUGCAAAUUAAAACCACAGUGAGAUAACACUAUCAGAAUUAGAAUUGCUGUGAUGAAAAUUCCAAAGUUGGAAAUGAUACGGAAGAAAUUAAACUGUCAUAUACUGCUGGUGGGAAUGAAAAAUGGUACAACCAUUUUGGAAAACAGGGAAUUUCUUAAAAGCUAAAUAUACACCUACGAUAUGAUUCAGCUAUUCCACUCCUAGGUAGUAACUCAAAAGAAGUAAAACCAUAUGACCUUAGGCUAUGGUCUGAAUAUUUGUGUCCCUCCAAAAUUCAUGUUGAAAGGAAUUCUAACUCUCAAGGUGAUGGUAUUAGAAGGUAGGGUCUUUUGGGAGGUAAUUAGGUAGGUCAUGAGGGCAGAGCUCUCAUGAAUGGGAUUAGUGCUCUUAUAAAAAAGGCCCAGGCGAACUUGUUCGUCCCCUUCCACCAUGUAAAGACAUAGCUAGAAAGUGCCAUCCAUAAACCAGAAAGUGGGUCCUCACCGUAAGUGAAUUGGCUGGUGUCUUGAUCUUGGACUUCUUGAACUUUGGAACUGUGAGAACAACUUCUGUUGUUUACAAGCUGCUCUGUUAAUAAUGUUUUGUUACAGCAGCUUGAAAGGACUAAGACACCAUGCAAAGACUGGUUUAUGAAUGCUCAUAGGAGCUUUAUUUUAACUAAUGAAAAACUGGAAACAACCUAAAUGUACACCAAUCAUUGAAUGCAUAAACACAUGAUAUAUGCAUACUGUGGAAUACUUUUCAGCAAUAAAAAUGAACUACUAAUACAUGCAACAACAUGGAUCAAUCUCUAAAUAAUUAUACUGAGUGAAGGAAGCCAGACAAAAGUGAGUACAUAUUGUGUGAUUCCAAAUAUAUGAAAUUCUAGAAAAUGCAAAUGAAUCUAUGGUGACAGAAGGGAGAUCAGUGAUUUCCUGAAGCUGGGGGAGGGGAUAGAAGGAGGAGGAAAGGAGGCUGACAGGAGGAACAGAUUACAAAAAGAAAUGAGGAAACUUUUGGAUUGAUGGAUACGUUCACUAUGAUCAUUGUGAUGAUUGCACAAAUGUGCACGAAAUGUCAAAACUUAUCAAAUUGCACACUUUAAAUAUUUGUUCUUUAUUAUAUAUCAGUUAUACCUCAAUAAAGC
This 5761-nucleotide long non-coding RNA is filed under the name Homo sapiens (human). RNAcentral describes it as "HSALNT0183646". The record is from RNAcentral. Lineage: Eukaryota; Metazoa; Chordata; Mammalia; Primates; Hominidae.